This 253-nucleotide ribosomal RNA is filed under the name uncultured bacterium. RNAcentral's name for it is "partial 16S ribosomal RNA". It matches the Rfam family "Bacterial small subunit ribosomal RNA", at positions 524 to 776 of the family's 1533-position model. The record is from RNAcentral.
UACGUAGGGUGCGAGCGUUGUCCGGAAUUACUGGGCGUAAAGAGCUCGUAGGUGGUUUGUCGCGUUGUUCGUGAAAACUCACAACUCAAUUGUGGGCGUGCGGGCGAUACGGGCAGACUGGAGUACUGCAGGGGAGACUGGAAUUCCUGGUGUAGCAGUGGAAUGCGCAGAUAUCAGGAGGAACACCGGUGGCGAAGGCGGGUCUCUGGGCAGUAACUGACGCUGAGGAGCGAAAGCGUGGGGAGCGAACAGG